CGGUACAGGGUGAUAGUCCCGUACACGAAAAUGCACAGGUUGUGAACUCGAAGAGUAGGGCGGGACACGUGGUAUCCUGUCUGAAUAUGGGGGGACCAUCCUCCAAGGCUAAAUACUCCUGACUGACCGAUAGUGAACCAGUACCGUGAGGGAAAGGCGAAAAGAACCCCGGCGAGGGGAGUGAAAAAGAACCUGAAACCGUGUACGUACAAGCAGUGGGAGCCUCUUUAUGGGGUGACUGCGUACCUUUUGUAUAAUGGGUCAGCGACUUAUAUUCUGUAGCAAGGUUAACCGUAUAGGGGAGCCGAAGGGAAACCGAGUCUUAACUGGGCGUUAAGUUGCAGGGUAUAGACCCGAAACCCGGUGAUCUAGCCAUGGGCAGGUUGAAGGUUGGGUAACACUAACUGGAGGACCGAACCGACUAAUGUUGAAAAAUUAGCGGAUGACCUGUGGCUGGGGGUGAAAGGCCAAUCAAACCGGGAGAUAGCUGGUUCUCCCCGAAAGCU
This 506-nucleotide ribosomal RNA is filed under the name Enterobacter hormaechei. Its description in RNAcentral is "partial 23S ribosomal RNA". It matches the Rfam family "Bacterial large subunit ribosomal RNA", at positions 354 to 867 of the family's 2925-position model. The record is from RNAcentral. Lineage: Bacteria; Pseudomonadati; Pseudomonadota; Gammaproteobacteria; Enterobacterales; Enterobacteriaceae.